Molecule: ribosomal RNA, 405 nt
Filed under: uncultured Clostridium sp.
Lineage: Bacteria; Bacillati; Bacillota; Clostridia; Eubacteriales; Clostridiaceae
Also listed under: 1 other name
Description: bacterial SSU rRNA
Rfam family: Bacterial small subunit ribosomal RNA
Source: RNAcentral
GUGGGGAAUAUUGCACAAUGGGGGAAACCCUGAUGCAGCAACGCCGCGUGAGUGAUGACGGCCUUCGGGUUGUAAAGCUCUGUCUUCAGGGACGAUAAUGACGGUACCUGAGGAGGAAGCCACGGCUAACUACGUGCCAGCAGCCGCGGUAAUACGUAGGUGGCGAGCGUUGUCCGGAUUUACUGGGCGUAAAGGGAGCGUAGGCGGACUUUUAAGUGAGAUGUGAAAUACUCGGGCUCAACUUGAGUGCUGCAUUUCAAACUGGAAGUCUAGAGUGCAGGAGAGGAGAAUGGAAUUCCUAGUGUAGCGGUGAAAUGCGUAGAGAUUAGGAAGAACACCAGUGGCGAAGGCGAUUCUCUGGACUGUAACUGACGCUGAGGCUCGAAAGCGUGGGGAGCAAACAGG